Molecule: transfer RNA, 66 nt
Filed under: Unio pictorum (painter's mussel)
Lineage: Eukaryota; Metazoa; Mollusca; Bivalvia; Unionida; Unionidae
Description: tRNA-His
Source: RNAcentral
AGCAAGGUAGUUUAAAGAAAAGAACGUUAGGUUGUGGUCCUGAUAGAGGAUAAUAUCCCUUUGUUU